CCUACGGGUGGCAGCAGUGGGGAAUAUUGGACAAUGGGCGAAAGCCUGAUCCAGCCAUGCCGCGUGUGUGAAGAAGGCCUUCGGGUUGUAAAGCACUUUCAGUGGGGAAGAAAGCCUUGGGGCUAAUACCCUCGAGGAAGGACAUCACCCACAGAAGAAGCACCGGCUAACUCCGUGCCAGCAGCCGCGGUAAUACGGAGGGUGCGAGCGUUAAUCGGAAUUACUGGGCGUAAAGCGCGCGUAGGCGGUCUGAUAAGCCGGUUGUGAAAGCCCCGGGCUCAACCUGGGAACGGCAUCCGGAACUGUCAGGCUAGAGUGCAGGAGAGGAAGGUAGAAUUCCCGGUGUAGCGGUGAAAUGCGUAGAGAUCGGGAGGAAUACCAGUGGCGAAGGCGGCCUUCUGGACUGACACUGACGCUGAGGUGCGAAAGCGUGGGUAGCAAACAGGAUUAGAUACCCUAGUAUC
This 464-nucleotide ribosomal RNA is filed under the name Vreelandella stevensii. RNAcentral's name for it is "partial 16S ribosomal RNA". It matches the Rfam family "Bacterial small subunit ribosomal RNA", at positions 338 to 794 of the family's 1533-position model. The record is from RNAcentral. Lineage: Bacteria; Pseudomonadati; Pseudomonadota; Gammaproteobacteria; Oceanospirillales; Halomonadaceae.